AUGCGUUCCAUUAGUUAGUUGGCGGGGUAACGGCCCACCAAGACAACGAUGGAUAGGGGUUCUGAGAGGAAGGUCCCCCACAUUGGAACUGAGACACGGUCCAAACUCCUACGGGAGGCAGCAGUGAGGAAUAUUGGUCAAUGGACGAGAGUCUGAACCAGCCAAGUAGCGUGAAGGAUGACUGCCCUAUGGGUUGUAAACUUCUUUUAUAUGGGAAUAAAACGUUCCACGUGUGGGAUUUUGUAUGUACCAUAUGAAUAAGGAUCGGCUAACUCCGUGCCAGCAGCCGCGGUAAUACGGAGGAUCCGAGCGUUAUCCGGAUUUAUUGGGUUUAAAGGGAGCGUAGGUGGAUUGUUAAGUCAGUUGUGAAAGUUUGCGGCUCAACCGUAAAAUUGCAGUUGAAACUGGCAGUCUUGAGUACAGUAGAGGUGGGCGGAAUUCGUGGUGUAGCGGUGAAAUGCUUAGAUAUCACGAAGAACUCCGAUUGCGAAGGCAGCUCACUGGACUGCAACUGACACUGAGGCUCGAAAGUGUGGGUAUCAAACAGGAUUAGAUACCCUGGUAGUCCACACAGUAAACGAUGAAUACUCGCUGUUUGCGAUAUACAGCAA
This 611-nucleotide ribosomal RNA is filed under the name uncultured bacterium. RNAcentral describes it as "bacterial SSU rRNA". It matches the Rfam family "Bacterial small subunit ribosomal RNA", at positions 231 to 842 of the family's 1533-position model. The record is from RNAcentral.